Morus notabilis is the source of this 508-nucleotide long non-coding RNA. RefSeq lists it as uncharacterized. The record is from RefSeq and is a predicted model, not a curated record. NCBI's taxonomy places the organism in Eukaryota, Viridiplantae, Streptophyta, Magnoliopsida, Rosales, Moraceae. The transcript is spliced from 3 exons.
CAUUUGGAGAAGUGGAACAAUUCUUUGGUUGCUAAUUCUGUGAGCAACUUUGGUACUACUUCUGGUGCUACUGGAUUUGGAGUUCCCCAACAGCAUCAGUUUAAUCUUUCCAACUUUCAAGUCUUUGGCAACGGAUUGGAGGGCUUCAACAACCCCCAAAAUCUAUGCUGAUUACUUAGAUUUAUCUUGAGAUCAUGUGGUUUAAUUGAAUUUCAUGCAAGCUAGCUAUAUAUUCAAGCAUCAUGGGAGAAUUCAGCGAAAAAAAAGGUAUUACCGGAGAAGAGUAUAUUUUUAUGCAUGCUUUCCUCAUCUCAACAAAUGAACAGAAUUAUGUACAUAAGAAAUAUGCUGGGAUUGGCUGUGGAUGGAGGUUUCUAGAGUAUAUAUAGUUUUACAAAAGACUUGCCUAUAUAUAUCAGCGGCUGUUUGUGGAGCAAAACUUGGUGAUGACUGAUCAUAUUGAAUAUCAAGCACUCUUCAUCUUCGAAGGCAGUCUUGUCAUAAUUAG